CCUGAGAAACCCAAAAGAUCGAAUGGGGAGAUUCAUCGUCAGCGAUCUCGGCGCUCGCGCGGUUCGCGAUGUCGAUCGGCCACGGCCUUUCGGCACGCGUCCGCGCGAAAUUGGUCGAGCGUCGUCGGCGUGCACUUCUCCCCUAGUAGGACGUCGCGACCCGUUGGGUGUCGGUCUACGGCCCGGGUGGGCGCCUGUCAAGCGUAACGUCUCGCGGCGUCGCUUGGCAGACCCCCGGUCGCCCGACCAGCUGCCCGGCGGUACUCGUACGGUAUCGAGCCGCAAAUUUUUUUAAAAAUUGCGUCCGGCCCGCCGCAAGCUUGGCCAGUGUUUAUUACCCGGAUGUUACGGACCUAGAGCCGUCACCGGGCCUGGUCGGCUGUUGGCAGGCGGUGUCCUGGGACAGGCUCUUAUUUUAUUUACCGGUCGGCGACGCUACUGCUUUGGGUACUUUCAGGACCCGUCUUGAAACACGGACCAAGGAGUCUAACAUGUGCGCGAGUCAUUGGGAGCUAAUAAGCCUAAAGGCGAAAUGAAAGUGAAUGUCGGCUUUAAGCCGACAGAGGGAGGAUGGUCCGCGUUACGAUGCGGUCCCGCACUCCCGGGGCGUCUCGUUCUCAUUGCGAGAAGAGGCGCACCCAGAGCGUACACGUUGGGACCCGAAAGAUG
This 669-nucleotide ribosomal RNA is filed under the name Parania sp. NHM670774. RNAcentral's name for it is "eukaryotic LSU rRNA". It matches the Rfam family "Eukaryotic large subunit ribosomal RNA", at positions 420 to 825 of the family's 3401-position model. Lineage: Eukaryota; Metazoa; Arthropoda; Insecta; Hymenoptera; Ichneumonidae. The record is from RNAcentral.